GAUCAGUGCCGACACAAGGCGACAGUCAAGAUGAAGAGUGGAGAGGAAGUGUGACUUGGAAGGGAGGCAUGCUAAAAAGAAGAGUGAAAUCCAUAUAGAGUGGCUGAAGCAGAAGAAUUUAACAAUAAGUAGAGAAGUAGAGUGUCUUAUUUGUCUCUCUGAGGGCAUAUGCAUCUAUAAUAAAGUCUGAGCAAAAUGUCUGGGCUAUCUGAUUAAAAAGCUCAGAACCAAGUAGAACCGGGCCUAAAAAAGUUGUCCAAUACCGUACACCUAACAAGACUUCAAAACACAGUAAGGACAGGGCAUCAAUGACACGGCAUCAGGCCCAAACCCUUCCAUGGACCUCCUUCUCCAUGGACCAAAGAGAAGAAGUUACUAAAAUUGGCAAGUUUUUGCUAGAAAAGACAUACGGUAACAGCUGAAGCAGAAGUACUCCAGAGCACGCUACAUAACAAUGCACCCUGUUAUUCAUAAUAUACAAUAUUUUAAUGCAAACUAUUCUGUAUAUUUACAUUUGUAUUGAAAAGUCAUGAGGCUAUCUAAUUUAAGACCCAUAUGCGUUAUUCAGGAGGCUAUAUAAUUAUACUGUAAGACCCCUAUGCAUUUUUCAGAACAGGCUGAAAUAAUGAUCUGAUAAUGAUGAGUUGAGUAUUCCUUUGAUCUUGCUAAGCAUUUUCCCACAAAUGUGAGCUUGUUUUCUCUUGAUGUGCCCUCAUUUUCUGUCCAGAUUAUCUUAAUUGUGUUGGCAUGUCAAUUUUCAUCUUUGCUGUAGUUUCUGUUUAGAGGUGACUUUAAGGUUGAUCACAAUCUAUUGUAACUCUUAUGCAACCAAAGGUCAGUAUUUUAUGUAGUCAGUCAAAAAUAUGCUGCAGUUACUUUUGUGGGAUGUAGCCAUCCCCAUAGGGGGAAACUGGAAUUCUAUACAACCAAUGAUAGGCCCUCUGUAGCAGAGUCUCAACUCAUCAUCUAUAUUUGUAAUGGGGUGAACACACCUAUAAGAAACGUUUAUGCACAGGGGCUCCAUUGAAGACUAAAAAUCAAAAACUGUAUUACCUUACAGGCAAAAAUACCAGCAAGCAUCACAAAUGGUGUCCAGUGACCUAGAUGUGGGCCCUACCUUCCCUGACAAUAUUUUUGUAUGAUAUAUAUAUAUAUAUAUAUCUAUAUAUAUUUAGACAGUAUUACUCCACCCAGCAUGUAAUUAUUAUAUAUUUGUGGCCCUCAAUAAUUGGACUUGCACGGCUAUUUUGCAUCUCAACUGCUGAAUCAUAAAGAAUAAAGUAUUUUAAUUUGUACAACAAGAAAGAAAACAUUGCUGUAUGAAAGCAGAUCGGAAUAAUAAAUACAAUCCACUCCUG
This is a long non-coding RNA of Pseudophryne corroboree (corroboree frog), 1358 nucleotides long. RefSeq lists it as uncharacterized. Lineage: Eukaryota; Metazoa; Chordata; Amphibia; Anura; Myobatrachidae. The record is from RefSeq and is a predicted model, not a curated record. The transcript has 3 exons.